Non-coding RNA from Anolis sagrei ordinatus, 389 nucleotides. NCBI's taxonomy places the organism in Eukaryota, Metazoa, Chordata, Lepidosauria, Squamata, Anolidae. The record is from RefSeq and is a predicted model, not a curated record.
AGUGAGUGAAGACCUUUCAGCAAGGACAACAUGCUCAACCAACCAACUAACUACCGAAGUCUCAGCAAAGAGCAAAGGAUCGCUGCCUUGUCAUGGCGCUGGAGCUUGAGCACCUCAAUGAUGCCACGAGUGAAAUCAUGAAAGGACACCCAAGAUGGGAAGGUCAUGGCAGAGAGGUCAGAUCCCUGGGGAAGGUGCUGCUUCUGAAUUCAGCAAAAGAUGAAGGAAAAACUGAAAUUUCAGAGGCUUCCUCCCGCUCUUCUUAAACAAAGACAUCCUAUACCAUACAUCUCAUGUUAGAAAUCACUGUGAUCUAUAUUUCUCUGACAACCAGGUAUUCAUUUCAGGAAUUCCGACCUAAAUAAUAUCUUGCUCCAACUACACACUUC